Molecule: ribosomal RNA, 879 nt
Filed under: uncultured archaeon
Lineage: Archaea
Description: bacterial SSU rRNA
Rfam family: Archaeal small subunit ribosomal RNA
Source: RNAcentral
UGCGAGUCGUUGCAGCAAUGCAAGGCAUACGGCUCAGUAACACGUAGUCAACCUACCCUAUGGACGGGGAUAACCUCGGGAAACUGAGAAUAAUACCCGAUAGAUCAUUAUGCCUGGAAUGGUUUAUGGUCCAAAUGAUUUAUCGCCGUAGGAUGGGACUGCGGCCUAUCAGCUUGUUGGUGAGGUAAUGGCCCACCAAGGCUAUAACAGGUACGGGCUCUGAGAGGAGUAGCCCGGAGAUGGGUACUGAGACACGGACCCAGGUCCUAUGGGGCGCAGCAGGCGAGAAACCUUUGCAAUGUGCGAAAGCACGACAAGGUUAAUCCGAGUGUCUUCUGCUAAAGGAGUCUUUUAUCAGUCCUAAAAACACCGAUGAAUAAGGGGUGGGCAAGUUCUGGUGUCAGCCGCCGCGGUAAAACCAGCACCUCAAGUGGUCAGGAGGAUUAUUGGGCCUAAAGCAUCCGUAGCCGGUUGUGUAAGUUUCCGGUUAAAUCCAUAUGCUCAACAUAUGGGCUGCCGGGAAUACUGUACAACUAGGGAGUGGGAGAGGUAGAGGGUACUCCGUGGGAAGGGGUAAAAUCCUUUGAUCCAUGGAUGACCACCUGUGGCGAAGGCGCUCUACCAGAACACGUCCGACGGUGAGGGAUGAAAGCUGGGGGAGCAAACCGGAUUAGAUACCCGGGUAGUCCCAGCCGUAAACUAUGCAAACUCAGUGAUGCAUUGGCUUGUGGCCAGUGCAGUGCCGCAGGGAAGCCGUUAAGUUUGCCGCCUGGGAAGUACGUACGCAAGUAUGAAACUUAAAGGAAUUGGCGGGGGGAGCACCACAAGGGGUGAAGCCUGCGGUUCAAUUGGAGUCAACGCCGGAAAGGGCGAAUUCUG